UACGUAGGUGGCAAGCGUUGUCCGGAUUUAUUGGGUUUAAAGGGUGCGUAGGCGGUCUUCUAAGUCAGUUGUGAAAUACUUCAGCUUAACUGGAGAGGUGCAAUUGAUACUGGAAGACUUGAGUACUGAUGAGGUAGGCGGAAUGGACGGUGUAGCGGUGAAAUGCUUAGAUAUCGUCCAGAACACCGAUAGCGAAGGCAGCUUACUAAGGAGUAACUGACGCUGGAGCACGAAAGUGUGGGGAUCAAACAGGA
Molecule: ribosomal RNA, 254 nt
Filed under: uncultured bacterium
Lineage: Bacteria
Description: partial 16S ribosomal RNA
Rfam family: Bacterial small subunit ribosomal RNA
Source: RNAcentral